RNAcentral lists this ribosomal RNA (650 nucleotides) under Salmonella enterica subsp. enterica serovar Anatum. Its description in RNAcentral is "bacterial SSU rRNA". It matches the Rfam family "Bacterial small subunit ribosomal RNA", at positions 895 to 1533 of the family's 1533-position model. Lineage: Bacteria; Pseudomonadati; Pseudomonadota; Gammaproteobacteria; Enterobacterales; Enterobacteriaceae. The record is from RNAcentral.
UAAAACUCAAAUGAAUUGACGGGGGCCCGCACAAGCGGUGGAGCAUGUGGUUUAAUUCGAUGCAACGCGAAGAACCUUACCUGGUCUUGACAUCCACAGAAGUUUCCAGAGAUGGAUUUGUGCCUUCGGGAACUGUGAGACAGGUGCUGCAUGGCUGUCGUCAGCUCGUGUUGUGAAAUGUUGGGUUAAGUCCCGCAACGAGCGCAACCCUUAUCCUUUGUUGCCAGCGGUUAGGCCGGGAACUCAAAGGAGACUGCCAGUGAUAAACUGGAGGAAGGUGGGGAUGACGUCAAGUCAUCAUGGCCCUUACGACCAGGGCUACACACGUGCUACAAUGGCGCAUACAAAGAGAAGCGACCUCGCGAGAGCAAGCGGACCUCAUAAAGUGCGUCGUAGUCCGGAUUGGAGUCUGCAACUCGACUCCAUGAAGUCGGAAUCGCUAGUAAUCGUGGAUCAGAAUGCCACGGUGAAUACGUUCCCGGGCCUUGUACACACCGCCCGUCACACCAUGGGAGUGGGUUGCAAAAGAAGUAGGUAGCUUAACCUUCGGGAGGGCGCUUACCACUUUGUGAUUCAUGACUGGGGUGAAGUCGUAACAAGGUAACCGUAGGGGAACCUGCGGUUGGAUCACCUCCUUACCUUAAAGAAGC